CCUACGGGUGGCAGCAGUGGGGAAUAUUGCACAAUGGGCGAAAGCCUGAUCCAGCGACGCCGCGUGAGUGAAGAAGGAAUUCGGUAUGUAAAGCUCUAUUAGCAGGGAAGAAAAAGACGGUACGUGAGAAGGAAGCACCGGCUAACUACGUGCCAGCAGCGGCGGUAAUACGUACGGGGCAGGCGUUAUCCGGAUUUACUGGGGGUAAAGGGAGCGUAGACGGCAGUGCAGGUCUGGAGUGAAAGGCGGGGGCUCAACCCACGGACUGAUGUGGAAACUGUAUGACUUGAGUGCAGGAGAGGUAAGUGGAAUUCCUGGUGUAGCGGUGAAAUGCGUAGAUAUUAGGAGGAACACCAGUGGCGAAGGCGGCUUACUGGACUGUAACUGACGCUGAGGCUCGAAAGCGUGGGGAGCAAACAGGAUUAGAUACCCUAGUAGUC
This 440-nucleotide ribosomal RNA is filed under the name uncultured bacterium. RNAcentral's name for it is "partial 16S ribosomal RNA". It matches the Rfam family "Bacterial small subunit ribosomal RNA", at positions 338 to 795 of the family's 1533-position model. The record is from RNAcentral.